Non-coding RNA from Camellia sinensis, 1247 nucleotides. The record is from RefSeq and is a predicted model, not a curated record. Lineage: Eukaryota; Viridiplantae; Streptophyta; Magnoliopsida; Ericales; Theaceae.
AGGGAUGUCAAUGGACUUUCCUUUGCAGGGGAACUUGCCCCAGACCUUGGGAAGCUUUCUCACCUAAGAUCUCUGAUUCAUGAAGAAUCAACUGGGUGGCAAACUAUUUUGACCUUCUAGUUCAAUCUUCCUAAGCUGAUGAUGCGACCUAAAUGUUGAUUUUGUUGAAAUUUGGGAGUUGGACUUGGUGAAGAAUCAACUGAUUUCAAACAAUUGUAGUUUAUGGUUGAAACUCCAUAUUGGGUCUCCCUCAAGCUUAAAUUUGAUGGCCUUCUCUGCUCUAUCUGGUGUUUCUUUCAACAUUUCAAGGCUCUUAUUAAGGUUAUGUAGGUGGAUUCUCGUUAAGAUGUCUUUGAAUUGUAAGUACUCUGCCUCUAAGCAGAAAAUGGGAACCAAUUUGAAGCUGACGAAGGCAAAGGAAUCUUUGCAUGGAUCUAAUAGAGUCUGGAAGUGGAGUAGACAUCUUCUAUUUCUGUGGCUUUUUGGUGUUUUCAUUGGGUUUAUUAGGUUCUUCUAUGGUUUGAAUGAUGGGGCUUUGAGGACAAACUAGGAGACUCUAGACUUGUGUCAACAACACAAAGCUAGGAUUUUGCUAGAACAUUUCAAUAUCAGCAAGGACCAACUUCAUGAAUCAGAUCAGGUGCUGUCUUUAUAUCUAUCUUAGAGAUUUGCUUCUUAAAUGGCUCCACUCUUUCUGGUUGUAGUUUUAAGUAACUUUUGUUGGUAAUAACUGUUUAUGUUAAUUAAUACUUGAGUUGGUUAGGAAGUUUGAGUGAACAAAGAAAGUGAUACAGAAUAGGAUUACAGUUGUUUCUUGCUGCAUCUUUGACAGGAUUAUAUUUGCUUAGUUCUAUAUUUGUGACAAAUGGUGGUCGCCUCGUCUGAAUUUUGCUACUGUGGAUUCUGAGUGCUUAUUAAGAUGCUAUCUUUUUGAGACAUUAUUAGAAGUCUUCUAUGUGCAGUAUUAUUUGGUAGGAAAUGCUUCUUGUAUGCUAAAGCUUCUAUAAAACGGACAAAAGUCAAAUCCACUAAAACAGUGAAAUUACCUUCAAAUGCUAUAUGGAACUAAUGGGUGUAAUUUUUGUUUUGUAGAUAACUUUUGGCAUGGACAGGUGGAUCUUCUAUUUUUGUGUAUGGGGGAUAAUUUACACUUUUGAAUAAUCCCACUUUUUUGUCGCUUUUUGUGUGAAUUUGGGUGAAUCGUACAUAUAACUUUUGGCGGGGUAUAAAAUACUUUUGACAUCAAA